Molecule: ribosomal RNA, 274 nt
Filed under: uncultured bacterium
Lineage: Bacteria
Description: partial 16S ribosomal RNA
Rfam family: Bacterial small subunit ribosomal RNA
Source: RNAcentral
CUACGAAGGGGGCUAGCGUUGCUCGGAAUCACUGGGCGUAAAGGGCGCGUAGGCGGCCGAUUAAGUCGGGGGUGAAAGCCUGUGGCUCAACCACAGAAUUGCCUUCGAUACUGGUUGGCUUGAGACCGGAAGAGGACAGCGGAACUGCGAGUGUAGAGGUGAAAUUCGUAGAUAUUCGCAAGAACACCAGUGGCGAAGGCGGCUGUCUGGUCCGGUUCUGACGCUGAGGCGCGAAAGCGUGGGGAGCAAACAGGAUUAGAAACCCUAGUAGUCC